UAGUGCUGUAAGUCCCUCUCGAAAAGAAUGAGGCCGCCAAUUGGCGGGUGGGACGAAGUAGAGAGGGGUUCGCUA
Molecule: non-coding RNA, 75 nt
Filed under: unclassified sequences
Description: DUF3800-X RNA
Rfam family: DUF3800-X RNA
Source: Rfam by way of RNAcentral